AGAAAACCGUAGAGAAAGAGUAGUAGGCAAGAUAAGAAUGAUUUAAAGAGAGCUAUAGGCGGUGUGAUUAUAGCAUGAUUUCCUUGUUGAAUGGACUUUUGAGGGUGACUUUGAACUGUAGUAGGGGUCAUCGGGUUCCCGACCCGUUAUCAGACCGGGCGCAUAUGAUGGUAUGUGUAUGAGAGUGGACUUUUAUGUCAAUUUGAGUGGUACCGCGGAUAAUUUCGCCUCAAGC
Molecule: non-coding RNA, 235 nt
Filed under: Anaerofustis stercorihominis
Lineage: Bacteria; Bacillati; Bacillota; Clostridia; Eubacteriales; Eubacteriaceae
Description: T-box sequence
Rfam family: T-box leader
About the family: Uncharged tRNA acts as the effector for transcription antitermination of genes in the T-box leader family. T-boxes are found upstream of many aminoacyl-tRNA synthetase genes and some amino acid biosynthetic genes usually in Gram-positive bacteria. The anticodon of a specific tRNA base pairs to a specifier sequence within the T-box motif, and the NCCA acceptor tail of the tRNA base pairs to a conserved bulge in the T-box antiterminator hairpin.
Source: RNAcentral